This 1155-nucleotide long non-coding RNA is filed under the name Salmo trutta (river trout). RNAcentral's name for it is "lncRNA (ENSSTUG00000040479.1)". The record is from RNAcentral. Lineage: Eukaryota; Metazoa; Chordata; Actinopteri; Salmoniformes; Salmonidae.
CUAGCAGGACCAAGAUGGGACCUCCUGUCACUCUCCUUCUCCUCUCUCUCUCUGCCGUCACUCUCCUUCUCCUCUCUCUCUGCCGUCACUCUCCUUCUCCUCUCUCUCUCUGCCGUCACUCUCUUUCUCCUCUCUCUCUCUGCCGUCACUCUCCUUCUCCUCUCUCUCUCUGCCGUCACUCUCCUUCUCCUCUCUCUCUCUGCCGUCACUCUCCUUCUCCUCUCUCUCUGCCGUCACUCUCCUUCUCCUCUCUCUCUCUGCCGUCACUCUCCUUCUCCUCUCUCUCUCUGCUGUCACUCUCCUUCUCCUCUCUCUCUCUGCUGUCACUCUCCUUCUCCUCUCUCUCUCUGCCGUCACUCUCCUUCUCCUCUCUCUCUCUGCCGUCACUCUCCUUCUCUCUCUCACUGCCGUCACUCUCCUUCUCCUCUCUCUCUCUGCCGUCACUCUCCUUCUCUCUCUCACUGCCGUCACUCUCCUUCUCCUCUCUCUCUCUGCCGUCACUCUCCUUCUCCUCUCUCUCUGCCGUCACUCUCCUUCUCCUCUCUCUCUGCCGUCACUCUCCUCCUCUCUCUCUCUGCUGGCACACUCCUUCUCCUCUCUCUCUCUGCUGUCACUCUCCUCCUCUCUCUCUCUGCUGUCACUCUCCUUCUCCUCUCUCUCUGCUGUCACUCUCCUCCUCCCUCUCUCUGCUGGCAAACUCCUUCUCCUCUCUCUCUCUGCCGUCACUCUCCUUCUCCUCUCUCUCUCUGCUGUCACUCUCCUUCUCCUCUCUCUCUCUGCUGUCACUCUCCUCUCUCUCUCUGCUGUCACUCUCCUUCUCCUCUCUCUCUGCUGUCACUCUCCUCCUCCCUCUCUCUGCUGGCAAACUCCUUCUCCUCUCUCUCUCUGCUGUCACUCUCCUUCUCCUCUCUCUCUGCUGUCACUCUCCUCUCACUCACUCCUCUUCCUCUCCUAUCACUCUCCUCCCCUCCUAUCACUCUCCUCCUCCCCUUUCAUUCUCCUCUCCUAUCAUUCUCCUCUUCUCCUCUCCUCUCCUCCUAUCACUUUCAUUUCCAUGUGUUUUCUUAAUGAGAGUCUGGAGAAACCAGUUCCUAAAAUAGAAACACAUAUUGUGAAGAAUGUGUUCAUGAGCAGUUGUCUGCAUGUUUGUGCUCU